AGUCUGCCGCCUUAGACCACUCGGCCAACCCUCC
RNAcentral lists this transfer RNA (34 nucleotides) under Millerozyma farinosa. Its description in RNAcentral is "partial transfer RNA". The record is from RNAcentral. Lineage: Eukaryota; Fungi; Ascomycota; Pichiomycetes; Serinales; Debaryomycetaceae.